GAUGAAGAACGUAGCGAAUUGCGAUAUGUAAUGUGAAUUGCAGAAUUCAGUGAAUCAUCGAAUCUUUGAACGCACAUUGCGCCCCCCAGUAUUCUGGCGGGCAUGCCUGUUCGAGCGUCAUUUCAACCAUCAAGCCCUGCUUGUGUUGGGGUCCUGCGGCUGCCCGCAGGCCCUGAAAACCAGUGGCGGGCUCGCUAGUCACACCGAGCGCAGUAGCACAUCUCGCUCAGGGCGUGCGGCGGGCUCCAGCCGUUAAAGCACCCACCUUUCGCAAGGUUGACCUCGGAUCAGGUAGGAAUACCCGCUGAACUUAAGCAUAUCAAUAAGCGGAGG
Molecule: unclassified non-coding RNA, 333 nt
Filed under: soil metagenome
Description: partial contains 5.8S ribosomal RNA, internal transcribed spacer 2, and large subunit ribosomal RNA
Rfam family: 5.8S ribosomal RNA (bases 1-120)
Source: RNAcentral